RNAcentral lists this ribosomal RNA (253 nucleotides) under uncultured bacterium. RNAcentral describes it as "partial 16S ribosomal RNA". It matches the Rfam family "Bacterial small subunit ribosomal RNA", at positions 524 to 776 of the family's 1533-position model. The record is from RNAcentral.
UACGUAGGGGGCGAGCGUUGUCCGGAUUUACUGGGCGUAAAGCGCGUGUAGGCGGUCCUUUAAGUCGGGUGUGAAAGCCCGGGGCUCAACCCCGGGAUGCCGCCCGACACUGGGGGACUUGAGGUCGGAAGAGGGGAGUGGAAUUCCAGGUGUAGCGGUGAAAUGCGUAGAGAUCUGGAGGAACACCCGUGGCGAAGGCGGCUCCCUGGUCCGGUUCUGACGCUGAGACGCGAAAGCGCGGGGAGCGAACGGG